This 788-nucleotide ribosomal RNA is filed under the name uncultured crenarchaeote. Its description in RNAcentral is "bacterial SSU rRNA". It matches the Rfam family "Archaeal small subunit ribosomal RNA", at positions 55 to 849 of the family's 1478-position model. Lineage: Archaea; Thermoproteati; Thermoproteota. The record is from RNAcentral.
GAGUCAUUGUAGCAAUACAAGGCAUACGGCUCAGUAACGCGUAGUCCACCUAACCUAUGGACGGGAAUAACCUCGGGAAACUGAGAAUAAUGCCCGAUAGAACAUUAUGCCUGGAAUGGUUUAUGUUCCAAAUGAUUUAUCGCCGUAGGAUGGGACUGCGGCCUAUCAGUUUGUUGGUGAGGUAAUGGCCCACCAAGACUAUUACAGGUACGGGCUCUGAGAGGAGUAGCCCGGAGAUGGGUACUGAGACACGGACCCAGGCCCUAUGGGGCGCAGCAGGCGAGAAAACUUUGCAAUGUGCGAAAGCACGACAAGGUUAAUCCGAGUGGUUUCUGCUAAAGAAACCUUUUGUCAGUCCUAGAAACACUGAUGAAUAAGGGGUGGGCAAGUUCUGGUGUCAGCCGCCGCGGUAAAACCAGCACCUCAAGUGGUCAGGAUGAUUAUUGGGCCUAAAGCAUCCGUAGCCGGCUCUGUAAGUUUUCGGUUAAAUCUGUACGCUCAACGUACAGGCUGCCGGGAAUACUGCAGAGCUAGGGAGUGGGAGAGGUAGACGGUACUCGGUAGGAAGGGGUAAAAUCCUUUGAUCUAUUGAUGACCACCUGUGGCGAAGGCGGUCUACCAGAACACGUCCGACGGUGAGGGAUGAAAGCUGGGGGAGCAAACCGGAUUAGAUACCCGGGUAGUCCCAGCUGUAAACUAUGCAAACUCAGUGAUGCAUUGGCUUGUGGCCAAUGCAGUGCUGCAGGGAAGCCGUUAAGUUUGCCGCCUGGGGAGUACGUACGCAAGUA